This 497-nucleotide ribosomal RNA is filed under the name uncultured bacterium. RNAcentral's name for it is "partial 16S ribosomal RNA". It matches the Rfam family "Bacterial small subunit ribosomal RNA", at positions 28 to 507 of the family's 1533-position model. The record is from RNAcentral.
GAUGAACGCUGGCGGCGUGCCUAAUACAUGCAAGUCGAGCGAACAGACGAGGAGCUUGCUCCUCUGACGUUAGCGGCGGACGGGUGAGUAACACGUGGAUAACCUACCUAGAAGACUGGGAUAACUGCGGGAAACCGGAGCUAAUACCGGAUAAUAUAUGGAACCGCAUGGUUCAAUAGUGAAAGACGGUUUUGCUGUGGCUUAUAGAUGGAUCCGCGCCGCAUUAGCUAGUUGGUAAGGUAACGGCUUACCAAGGCAACGAUGCGUAGCCGACCUGAGCGGGUGAUCGGCCACCCUGGAGCUGAGACACGGUCCAGACGCCUACGGGAGGCAGCAGUAGGGAAUCUUCCGCAAUGGGCGAGAGCAUGACGGAGCAACGCCGCGUGAGUGGUGAAGGUCUUCGGUUCGUAAAACUCUGUUAUUAGGGAAGAACAAAUGUGUACGUAACUAUGCACGUCUUGACGGUACCUGAUCAGAAAGCCACGGCUAACUACGUG